UACAGAGUGAGCAAGCGUUACCCGUCCUAACUGGGUGUAAAGGGUGUGUAGGUGGAUAUUAUACAUAAGACUAAAUGAAAAUUGCUGUGUUUUGGCAGAUGUUUUUAGUACCAGGUAUCUUUGAGACAUAAAGAGAUUAUUAGUAUACGUGGUGGUUAAAUUUAGGAAAUUGCUUCAUCUCACGGGGACUACCAGCAGCGAAGGCGUUUAAUCUGUUAUGUUCUGACACUAAUGCACGAAAUCGUGGGGAGCAAAAGGG
Molecule: ribosomal RNA, 259 nt
Filed under: uncultured bacterium
Lineage: Bacteria
Description: partial 16S ribosomal RNA
Rfam family: Bacterial small subunit ribosomal RNA
Source: RNAcentral